Molecule: unclassified non-coding RNA, 332 nt
Filed under: soil metagenome
Description: partial contains 5.8S ribosomal RNA, internal transcribed spacer 2, and large subunit ribosomal RNA
Rfam family: 5.8S ribosomal RNA (bases 1-120)
Source: RNAcentral
GAUGAAGAACGUAGCGAAAUGCGAUACGUAAUGUGAAUUGCAGAAUUCAGUGAAUCAUCGAAUCUUUGAACGCACAUUGCGCCUGCCAGCACUCUGGCAGGCAUGCCUGUUCGAGCGUCAUUUCAACCAUCAAGCCCUAGGCUUGCGUUGGAGCCCUGCGGCUGCCGCAGGCCCCUAAAAGCAGUGGCGGGCUCGCUAUCACACCGAGUGCAGUAGAUUACUCUUCGCUCAGGGCGUGUGGCGGGUUCCAGCCGUGAAACCCCCUACUUCUCAAGGUUGACCUCGGAUCAGGUAGGAAUACCCGCUGAACUUAAGCAUAUCAAUAAGGAGGA